RNAcentral lists this ribosomal RNA (628 nucleotides) under Vibrio ichthyoenteri. RNAcentral describes it as "bacterial SSU rRNA". It matches the Rfam family "Bacterial small subunit ribosomal RNA", at positions 764 to 1391 of the family's 1533-position model. The record is from RNAcentral. Lineage: Bacteria; Pseudomonadati; Pseudomonadota; Gammaproteobacteria; Vibrionales; Vibrionaceae.
GGGAGCAAACAGGAUUAGAUACCCUGGUAGUCCACGCCGUAAACGAUGUCUACUUGGAGGUUGUGGCCUUGAGCCGUGGCUUUCGGAGCUAACGCGUUAAGUAGACCGCCUGGGGAGUACGGUCGCAAGAUUAAAACUCAAAUGAAUUGACGGGGGCCCGCACAAGCGGUGGAGCAUGUGGUUUAAUUCGAUGCAACGCGAAGAACCUUACCUACUCUUGACAUCCAGAGAAGCCAGCGGAGACGCAGGUGUGCCUUCGGGAACUCUGAGACAGGUGCUGCAUGGCUGUCGUCAGCUCGUGUUGUGAAAUGUUGGGUUAAGUCCCGCAACGAGCGCAACCCUUAUCCUUGUUUGCCAGCGAGUAAUGUCGGGAACUCCAGGGAGACUGCCGGUGAUAAACCGGAGGAAGGUGGGGACGACGUCAAGUCAUCAUGGCCCUUACGAGUAGGGCUACACACGUGCUACAAUGGCGCAUACAGAGGGCUGCCAACCAGCGAUGGUGAGCGAAUCCCAAAAAGUGCGUCGUAGUCCGGAUUGGAGUCUGCAACUCGACUCCAUGAAGUCGGAAUCGCUAGUAAUCGUGGAUCAGAAUGCCACGGUGAAUACGUUCCCGGGCCUUGUACACACC